Molecule: ribosomal RNA, 301 nt
Filed under: uncultured bacterium
Lineage: Bacteria
Description: partial 16S ribosomal RNA
Rfam family: Bacterial small subunit ribosomal RNA
Source: RNAcentral
CAGCAGCCACGGUAAUACGUAGGGUGCGAGCGUUAAUCGGAUUUACUGGGCGUAAAGCGUGCGCAGGCGGCCCGUUAAGACAGGUGUGAAAUCCCUGGGCUCAACCUAGGAAUUGCGCUUGUGACUGGCGGGCUCGAGUACGGUAGAGGGGGGUGGAAUUCCUGGUGUAGCAGUGAAAUGCGUAGAGAUCAGGAGGAACACCGAUGGCGAAGGCAGCCCCCUGGGCCUGUACUGACGCUCAUGCACGAAAGCGUGGGGAGCAAACAGGAUUAGAUACCCCAGUAGUCCCUGUCUCUUAUAC